Long non-coding RNA from Gymnodraco acuticeps, 483 nucleotides. RefSeq lists it as uncharacterized. NCBI's taxonomy places the organism in Eukaryota, Metazoa, Chordata, Actinopteri, Perciformes, Bathydraconidae. The record is from RefSeq and is a predicted model, not a curated record. The transcript is spliced from 3 exons.
AAACCUGCCAAUGAGAACUGUCAGCGCCUGCGGGUCUCCUCCAAGCUGUCUGUAUGUCUGCUGCAGGAGUUUAUGGAUUAAUAUCGGGAUCGUUUUACAUCUACAGGUUAAAUAUGAGCAUCGGGACGUCAACAAAGAACAGAAGACUUGAGAUCUGAGCACCAGUGGACAGUGAGGACCAUGGAAGAGAAGAUGUGAUGGCUUUGUGUGGAAAGCUGCUUACGCCAGCUCCUCGUCAGUUUCUCCAGGCAGCACCCAGCUAUUCUUCCAUCUUGCAGAUGAAAAUACUUUGAUAUCACCUGGACACAGCAGGAACAUACGCCAGGACCCUGUUUGUGGACUUCAGCUCUGCCUUCAACAUAACCCUCUGGCAGGAGGCUGCGCUCCAUCAGGACCAGAACCUCUCUCCAUCAGGACCAGAACCUCUCUUCAUCAGGACCAGAACCUCUCUUCAUCAGGACCAGAACCUCUCUCCAUCAGGAC